Molecule: ribosomal RNA, 1024 nt
Filed under: Xenostrobus securis
Lineage: Eukaryota; Metazoa; Mollusca; Bivalvia; Mytilida; Modiolidae
Description: 16S ribosomal RNA
Rfam family: Bacterial large subunit ribosomal RNA (bases 629-1024)
Source: RNAcentral
CCAGAUUGUAAGAAAUCUAUUUUACUUAGUUCUAUAUUUGUAGCAAAACAUAUGGAAAAAUUAAAGUAAUUGGUUAUAUGCCUUAUGCUCUUAUAGGUAUCUGGUUAGUUCCUAAAUGUAUUUAGUGCAGCUGUUUGGUUUAAAAAAGUGAUUGUAAGUUGGAUAAGCAACUUGUGCAGUUUGUAUUGACUAUUAAUAUAGUGUGAGGAAGGCUAGGUAGUCUUAAUAUUAGAAAAUAGUAGUUUGUUAUAAAUACAUCUUUGUGUUUUAUAGAUUGUUUUGGUGUGUCAUUGUGAGUAAGGAAUUUAAUCUUUAAAGAGAUUUUUUUAUGAUAAAAUUAGUAGAUACUCAGGUUUAAACUUAAUAAUUUAGAUGGAUAUUAAGGUAUAGUUGUUGUAGGUGUUUAGUGAAAUUUAUUUAAUGAAUUCGGCAAAACAGCUCUUCGAAUGUUUAUCAAAAACAUUUCUUCUAGGAUGUAAAUAGAGGUAGGCCCUGCCCACUGCAAUGUGAAGGGCCGCAUUAGCCUGAGUGUGCUAAGGUAGCGCGAUAAUUUGCCUUUUAAUUAGAGGCUGGUAUGAAUGGGUUAACGCGAGAGUCUCUGUGUCAGAUAAAAGAGUUAAAUUUAAUUUUUAGGUGAAGAAGCCUAAAUAACCUAGGAGGACGACAAGACCCUAGAAUCUGGUUUAAUCUGGCUAGUCAAGUAGUUGGAGUAAUAUUUGUUGGGGCAACAAGAUUAGUAGGAAUAAUCUGGUAUAAAAGACUUAUUCGUUCGUUCUGUUUUUACAAAGAUAGUAAGUUACUCUAGGGAUAACAGCGUAAUUUCUUUUGAUAGUUCUUAUUGAAAAAUGAAGUUUGCGACCUCGAUGUUGAAUUAAGGUAGCCUUAAGGUGUAGCCGCUUUAAAGGGUAGGUCUGUUCGCCCAUUAAAACCUUACAUGAUUUGAGUUCAGACCGGCGUGAGCUAGGUCAGUUUCUAUCCUCUAGGGGUUUAUAUAGCUCAUUUUAGUACGAAAGGAUUUUAUGAG